This 490-nucleotide ribosomal RNA is filed under the name uncultured bacterium. RNAcentral describes it as "partial 16S ribosomal RNA". It matches the Rfam family "Bacterial small subunit ribosomal RNA", at positions 30 to 507 of the family's 1533-position model. The record is from RNAcentral.
AUUGAACGCUGGCGGCAGGCCUAACACAUGCAAGUCGAACGGUAACAGGAAGAAGCUUGCUUCUUUGCUGACGAGUGGCGGACGGGUGAGUAAUGUCUGGGAAACUGCCUGAUGGAGGGGGAUAACGACUGGAAACGGUAGCUAAUACCGCAUAACGUCGCAAGACCAAAGAGGGGGACCUUCGGGCCUCUUGCCAUCGGAUGUGCCCAGAUGGGAUUAGCUAGUAGGUGGGGUAACGGCUCACCUAGGCGACGAUCCCUAGCUGGUCUGAGAGGAUGACCAGCCACUCUGGAACUGAGACACGGUCCAGACUCCUACGGGAGGCAGCAGUGGGGAAUAUUGCACAAUGGGCGCAAGCCUGAUGCAGCCAUGCCGCGUGUAUGAAGAAGGCCUUCGGGUUGUAAAGUACUUUCAGCGGGGAGGAAGGGAGUAAAGUUAAUACCUUUGCUCAUUGACGUUACCCGCAGAAGAAGCACCGGCUAACUCCGUG